This 233-nucleotide ribosomal RNA is filed under the name uncultured bacterium. RNAcentral describes it as "partial 16S ribosomal RNA". It matches the Rfam family "Bacterial small subunit ribosomal RNA", at positions 99 to 334 of the family's 1533-position model. The record is from RNAcentral.
CGGACGGGUGAGUAAUGUCUGGGAAACUGCCUGAUGGAGGGGGAUAACUACUGGAAACGGUAGCUAAUACCGCAUAACGUCCGCAAGACCAAAGAGGGGGACCUUCGGGCCUCUUGCCAUCGGAUGUGCCCAGAUGGGAUUAGCUAGUAGGUGGGGUAACGGCUCACCUAGGCGACGAUCCCUAGCUGGUCUGAGAGGAUGACCAGCCACACUGGAACUGAGACACGGUCCAG